Molecule: ribosomal RNA, 330 nt
Filed under: bacterium enrichment culture clone ALO1_GLFRUDD03G55UF
Lineage: Bacteria
Also listed under: 1 other name
Description: bacterial SSU rRNA
Rfam family: Bacterial small subunit ribosomal RNA
Source: RNAcentral
GAGUUUGAUCUUGGCUCAGAUUGAACGCUGGCGGCAUGCCUUACACAUGCAAGUCGAACGGCAGCACGGGAGCUUGCUCCUGGUGGCGAGUGGCGAACGGGUGAGUAAUGCAUCGGAACGUAUCCUGGAGUGGGGGAUAACGUAGCGAAAGUUACGCUAAUACCGCAUAUUCUGUGAGCAGGAAAGCGGGGGACCUUCGGGCCUCGCGCUCUUGGAGCGGCCGAUGUCGGAUUAGCUAGUUGGUGAGGUAAAGGCUCACCAAGGCGACGAUCCGUAGCAGGUCUGAGAGGAUGAUCUGCCACACUGGAACUGAGACACGGUCCAGACCCU